RNAcentral lists this ribosomal RNA (520 nucleotides) under uncultured Pleosporales. RNAcentral's name for it is "eukaryotic LSU rRNA". The stretch from base 155 to 308 matches the Rfam family "5.8S ribosomal RNA". The record is from RNAcentral. Lineage: Eukaryota; Fungi; Ascomycota; Dothideomycetes; Pleosporales.
GGAGGAUCAUUAUCGUAGGGCUUCGGCCCUGUCGAGAUAGAACCCUUGCCUUUUUGAGUACCUUUCGUUUCCUCGGCAGGCUCGCCAGCCAAUGGGGACCACAAAAAACACUUUGCAGUACCUGUAACAGUCUGAACAAACAAACAAAAAUUAAAACUUUCAACAACGGAUCUCUUGGUUCUGGCAUCGAUGAAGAACGCAGCGAAAUGCGAUAAGUAGUGUGAAUUGCAGAAUUCAGUGAAUCAUCGAAUCUUUGAACGCACAUAGCGCCCUUUGGUAUUCCUUAGGGCAUGCCUGUUCGAGCGUCAUUUAAACCUUCAAGCUAAGCUUGGUGUUGGGUGACUGUCCGCUUCACGGCGGACUCGCCUCAAAAUUAUAGGCGGCCGGUACAUUGGCUUCGAGCGCAGCAGAAACGCGAACUCGGGCCCGUCGUAUUGGCUCCCAGAAGCUAUCUUCACAAUUUUGACCUCGGAUCAGGUAGGGAUACCCGCUGAACUUAAGCAUAUCAAUAAGCGGAGGA